RNAcentral lists this non-coding RNA (79 nucleotides) under unclassified sequences. Its description in RNAcentral is "Proteo-phage-1 RNA". It matches the Rfam family "Proteo-phage-1 RNA". The record is from Rfam by way of RNAcentral.
CCGCAGCCAGGGCGGCCUCACGGAAGGCCUGGACACUGAUAAGCCGGCAAGUGCAGUGCUUCGCAAAACACCGGCCGCC